UUUUUAGUCUUAAGUAUGUCCCAUGCAAUAUUUGGGACAUACUUGUACUAAAA
RNAcentral lists this microRNA precursor (53 nucleotides) under Equus asinus (donkey). Its description in RNAcentral is "mir-1302 microRNA precursor family". It matches the Rfam family "mir-1302 microRNA precursor family". RNAcentral also lists the same sequence under 1 other name. Lineage: Eukaryota; Metazoa; Chordata; Mammalia; Perissodactyla; Equidae. The record is from Rfam by way of RNAcentral.